GUCCGAGUAGCUCACAUGGUUAGAGCGCAGGUUUGAAAAACCUGAGGAAGUGGUUCGAUUCCACUCUUGGACA
RNAcentral lists this transfer RNA (73 nucleotides) under Andalucia godoyi. RNAcentral's name for it is "tRNA-Phe". It matches the Rfam family "tRNA". From Rfam's summary of the family: Transfer RNA (tRNA) molecules are approximately 80 nucleotides in length. Lineage: Eukaryota; Jakobea; Jakobida; Andaluciidae. The record is from RNAcentral.